RNAcentral lists this ribosomal RNA (91 nucleotides) under Thryonomys swinderianus (greater cane rat). RNAcentral describes it as "partial large subunit ribosomal RNA". Lineage: Eukaryota; Metazoa; Chordata; Mammalia; Rodentia; Thryonomyidae. The record is from RNAcentral.
GAACAAAAAAACCUCCGAAUGAUCUUAGCUUAGAUUCACAAAUCAACACUUAUAUCAUAUUAUUGAUCCAAUAAAAUUGAACAAUGAACCA